This is a long non-coding RNA of Gallus gallus (chicken), 699 nucleotides long. RefSeq lists it as uncharacterized. Lineage: Eukaryota; Metazoa; Chordata; Aves; Galliformes; Phasianidae. The transcript is spliced from 2 exons. The record is from RefSeq and is a predicted model, not a curated record.
UGGGCCGAGAUGAGGCCGCGUGGGCGAUGAGGUCUCCAGGUCCCCACCCAGGCUCCGUCCAUGCUGGCAGGCAUGUGCCUCCAAACCUAAAGGCAAGAACAGAGGAGUUACUGACGGGCUGCCCCAACAGAGGCCGCAGCUCCUGAGCCGGAAGGGCCGGCAGCAGUUUCUCCCGCUCACUGCCAGUCCUGCCAGUCUCGUGCUGCAUGCCCCUCGCGCACACCGGAGCUCAGCCCGCACCCUGCAGCUGGGCUCUGCAGCCUGACGUGUGCAGGAGCUCUCCCUCACCUCUCUGAGCCUUGGAGGACGAGCGCGAUGAGGCUGAGCUAGUCUGCUGCUGGGGCUGCUCUCAGGCACAGGGCACGGCGAGCGGCUGCGGGCAGCACAGCUCACAAAUGAGGCGCCUGGAGCCAGCGGCCAGCUGUCCUUGGGGAGGGCCCGGCGUCGUCAUGGCAAUGCAUUGUGACAGCACACGGGCUCCGGGUGAUGUCAUCUGUGCUGUGACAUCUCCUGGCUGGCCUGGAGCCACGCCCGCCACGCCUUUUCGGCCUCGCACCCCAACCAGUACAAAGGGUAGCGCACGCUGCCGACACCUGCAGAUGGACUGAGCUCUCACUUCUAGCCACGUGCCGCCCGGGGCUCCUGAGGCUCGGUCAGCGUCACCUGCAAGGGAGAGAUUACGUUACUUCGAACCUACUG